AGGGAUAUAACUCAGCGGUAGAGUUUCACCUUGACGUGGUGGAAGUCAUCAGUUCGAGCCUGAAUUAUCCCUA
RNAcentral lists this transfer RNA (73 nucleotides) under Hordeum vulgare. RNAcentral's name for it is "tRNA-OTHER". It matches the Rfam family "tRNA". Rfam says of the family: Transfer RNA (tRNA) molecules are approximately 80 nucleotides in length. Their secondary structure includes four short double-helical elements and three loops (D, anti-codon, and T loops). Lineage: Eukaryota; Viridiplantae; Streptophyta; Magnoliopsida; Poales; Poaceae. The record is from RNAcentral.